Molecule: ribosomal RNA, 554 nt
Filed under: Rhodotorula babjevae
Lineage: Eukaryota; Fungi; Basidiomycota; Microbotryomycetes; Sporidiobolales; Sporidiobolaceae
Description: eukaryotic LSU rRNA
Rfam family: Eukaryotic large subunit ribosomal RNA
Source: RNAcentral
CGAGCGAAGCGGGAAGAGCUCAAAUUUAUAAUCUGGCACCUUCGGUGUCCGAGUUGUAAUCUCUAGAAGUGUUUUCCGCGUUGGACCGCACACAAGUCUGUUGGAAUACAGCGGCAUAGUGGUGAAACCCCCGUAUAUGGUGCGGACGCCCAGCGCUUUGUGAUACACUUUCAAUGAGUCGAGUUGUUUGGGAAUGCAGCUCAAAUUGGGUGGUAAAUUCCAUCUAAAGCUAAAUAUUGGCGAGAGACCGAUAGCGAACAAGUACCGUGAGGGAAAGAUGAAAAGCACUUUGGAAAGAGAGUUAACAGUACGUGAAAUUGUUGGAAGGGAAACGCUUGAAGUCAGACUUGCUUGCCGGAGCUUGCUUCGGUUUGCAGGCCAGCAUCAGUUUUCCGGGGUGGAUAAUGACGGUUUGAAGGUAGCAGUCUCGGCUGUGUUAUAGCUUUCCGUUGGAUACAUCCUGGGGGACUGAGGAACGCAGCGUGCUUUUUGCGAAAGACUCGUCUUUUUCACGCUUAGGAUGCUGGUGGAAUGGCUUUAAACGACCCGUCUUG